Molecule: ribosomal RNA, 498 nt
Filed under: uncultured bacterium
Lineage: Bacteria
Description: partial 16S ribosomal RNA
Rfam family: Bacterial small subunit ribosomal RNA
Source: RNAcentral
AUUGAACGCUGGCGGCAUGUCUUACACAUGCAAGCCGAACGGUAACAGGUCUUCGGAUGCUGACGAGUGGCGAACGGGUGAGUAAUACAUCGGAACGUGCCUAGUAGUGGGGGAUAACUACUCGAAAGAGUGGCUAAUACCGCAUGAGAUCUACGGAUGAAAGCAGGGGAUCGCAAGACCUUGUGCUACUAGAGCGGCCGAUGGCAGAUUAGGUAGUUGGUGGGAUAAAAGCUUACCAAGCCGACGAUCUGUAGCUGGUCUGAGAGGACGAUCAGCCACACUGGGACUGAGACACGGCCCAGACUCCUACGGGAGGCAGCAGUGGGGAAUUUUGGACAAUGGGCGAAAGCCUGAUCCAGCAAUGCCGCGUGCAGGAUGAAGGCCUUCGGGUUGUAAACUGCUUUUGUACGGAACGAAAAGCCCCGGGUUAAUACCCUGGGGUCAUGACGGUACCGUAAGAAUAAGCACCGGCUAACUACGUGCCAGCAGCCGCCGUAA